CUUGAAUACCUGUUGUUACUUCCAGUAAAGUCUUGUUCCAGCAUUAAGCUUUGGCUCAGGUGUGGAUUAUUCGGCAAUUCCAGGGAUAUUUCUACUUGUGGAAUAUUGGGUGACUUUCUUUUAUGGGAAGAAGGGAAUGCUUGACGGUGAUACCUUAUACUACCGUCACAUGAGGUAUACCUUUUAGUAGCCACUUAGUCACAAGCACUGGCCUCAGUUAGCUUUCAUAUUUGUGUGAAAAGUGCAAAAAAUAAAUAUGAACGCUUACUUUGGCCUGUUUGUGACUGUUUUUUGCAUUUUUCACACAAAAACAAAAUAUGAAAGCUAACUUUGGUUAGUGUUUGUGACCAAGUGGCUACUAAAAAAGACAGCAUUUUCCCCAUAUUGAAUACCCUGGAUUCUCUACUUUUGCAAGUGGUAUGCCAUCAUGGGGGUAAUUCUCAUUCCUGAGCUACCAUACGGUCUCAAAGGCCACAUUACUAAUCUGGCAAAUUUCAGUGUGUAUAAACUGAAAAAUGUAAUGCUAUGUUUCACCCUGUAACUUUACAAAACACCGUAACACCUGUUCAUAGUUAAUCAGAAAUUGCUGAAUACAAAAUAUGUGUUUUUAUUGCAGUAAAAGCUAACGGUAUUCUGGAAGUUAAAAUGUCAUGCAGAACUAUAAAAAGAACAUUUCUUAAUUUCCCACUUUUAUUUAUUUUUUCCCCCACAUUUUAUUCAUAUUAAAUUAGGUUUCUUAUAUAAAAUAUUUGAUGUGAAAUGAAAGCUGUGUUUCGCCUGAACAAAAUGAUAUAUACUAAGUGUGGGUGCCCGUAAUAGGAAAGAGGUGAAUUCUGGUUGAACAGACAUAGCGCAUAUCCCAAGUUUUAUUUUGUUAAAAACUUGUACUAUUGCCUUAAUUGGUUCAAAAUUCUAUUUUAGUCCUUUUAUUUUGUGACCUGUAACUUUAUUUAGCUUUUUAUUUUUAAA
Non-coding RNA from Pelobates cultripes (western spadefoot toad), 969 nucleotides. Lineage: Eukaryota; Metazoa; Chordata; Amphibia; Anura; Pelobatidae. The record is from the annotation of a GenBank genome assembly.